GAUGAACGCUGGCGGCGUGCCUAAUACAUGCAAGUCGAGCGAACAGAUGAGGAGCUUGCUCCUCUGACGUUAGCGGCGGACGGGUGAGUAACACGUGGAUAACCUACCUAUAAGACUGGGAUAACUUCGGGAAACCGGAGCUAAUACCGGAUAAUAUAUUGAACCGCAUGGUUCAAUAGUGAAAGACGGUUUUGCUGUCACUUAUAGAUGGAUCCGCGCCGCAUUAGCUAGUUGGUAAGGUAACGGCUUACCAAGGCAACGAUGCGUAGCCGACCUGAGAGGGUGAUCGGCCACACUGGAACUGAGACACGGUCCAGACUCCUACGGGAGGCGGCAGUAGGGAAUCUUCCGCAAUGGGCGAAAGCCUGGCGGAGCAACGCCGCGUGAGUGAUGAAGGUCUUCGGAUCGUAAAACUCUGUUAUUAGGGAAGAACAAAUGUGUAAGUAACUAUGCACGUCUUGACGGUACCUAAUCAGAAAGCCACGGCUAACUACGUG
This 497-nucleotide ribosomal RNA is filed under the name uncultured bacterium. Its description in RNAcentral is "partial 16S ribosomal RNA". It matches the Rfam family "Bacterial small subunit ribosomal RNA", at positions 28 to 507 of the family's 1533-position model. The record is from RNAcentral.